RNAcentral lists this long non-coding RNA (449 nucleotides) under Elaeis guineensis (African oil palm). RNAcentral describes it as "long non-coding RNA (EGUI_LNC020055)". Lineage: Eukaryota; Viridiplantae; Streptophyta; Magnoliopsida; Arecales; Arecaceae. The record is from RNAcentral.
GAGAAUAUGAUAUGUAGAAUGUGAUUGUUUUAAUUACAAUUCAUGAUUGCAUAUUAAUAAUUUUUAAUUAUAUUUAUUUAUUUUUAUGUAUAAAUAUAGAAUAAACUUCAAGAGAUGAGUGAGACACAUUAACAAGAUAUUUCUUUUGCAUUAGUCCCACUAGUGGAGCAUUUUGUACUUGUAUUAAGAAGGAGGUCUAGGCCACGCACAUAAUUUAGGAGCUAAAAGAAUCACAUCUAUUUUCAAAGAAAGGCAAAAUAUUCAUGCAGAGGUUGAGGCUACAUAGAAGCAUGCUGAUAUUUUGGAGGAUGAAGUCCAAAGGCUUACUGAGAUGAUAAAAAAGCAAAAGGAGACUAAUUCACAACUCCAAGUAGAAUUGCAAUCUCAACAUGCAAAACUUGAGGCUCAAUUUAAGACUAUCGAGGCAUAAUGUGUAGAAAUACAAAAAG